RNAcentral lists this long non-coding RNA (1085 nucleotides) under Monodelphis domestica (gray short-tailed opossum). Its description in RNAcentral is "lncRNA (ENSMODG00000035452.2)". The record is from RNAcentral. Lineage: Eukaryota; Metazoa; Chordata; Mammalia; Didelphimorphia; Didelphidae.
UGUCUCAUCCAUCCAAGUGAGUGGUCACGUAUAUUACCAAGUGGAAAAAUCUAGUAGAAGGGCAAAGUUGAAGCUUUUUAGAAGGAAGCCUCAACUUCAGGUUUUCUCAAAGUUUCAUGAAUGUAGUAGGAGCAUCAGAGAUAUUUGCUGAAUUGAAUUUAUGCCAGUUUGUACCAAGAAGAACUUUUAUCCCCCUGUGGGAAAAAAAGUCCCAAGAUGUUUCUUGGUGAAAGAUGGAAGUCUGAUGCUUAUUGGCUAUGCCUUGGUAGCAUGGAUUUAAUAAUUUGGACAAAAGGUCAACAAUCUCAAGGAAACCUUUUACUUCCUGUGGUUCAGUGAAGGUGAAAGUGGAAUCUGGAGGUCUUGCCAUAUGUAAAUGAAUGAUAUCCCAGGCUAGCUUGUCUUCUCCUGGAGGGAAAUUCCCCACUAAUUGCCUAAGAACAGACUUUCUGAUACCCUUGACCAUCACCAUCACCAUAGCCAGUUAUCUCGACUUUUGUUUUCCACUGGACUUGGGCAACUCUGGAAGAGAUAGUGAAGUUGGACAUUUUAUCUCACUGAAAUCCAAUUCAUACACAACUCAAGGUAUCACUCUGACGUCAUUUGUCUUCUAAAAUGAAGGAUAAACAACAUCAACUGGCACACUUAAAAAUCACACCUUAGAUCUUACUACUCUGCCCAUGCACCAACUUUCUUUAUUCUUACAUUGAAUUACAUUGAAUUGUCCCUGGAAUCGGUAGACAUUUGAUAUGUCUUUCACUGGAGUUUCUUUACUCAGAAGAUUUGAAUGCUUUCUGUGAUUGCUGAGGAUGAACUCUACUAGCAUUUAAGGAAGCUUUGCUUUCCCCUUUCUGAAAGUGGAGAGGCUUGUUGAUGUCUCUCUCUCACAACUGUAUUUUGGGGACAUCCCUAUCCUAAUGGGUACUCUGGAUCACUUUGGUUCAGUCAACAUGCAUUGAAUUCCCAAUGUGUACAAAGCUCUGUGUCAGGUUUCGUGGAAGGUACAAAGAUGCGGAAGGCACAGCCCAUUUCCAUUAAGGAAUAUAAAAUAUAGUAAGAGAAAUAAAACAUAUACACCAUAACCA